UGCCAGCAGCCGCGGUAAUACGGAGGGUGCAAGCGUUAAUCGGAAUUACUGGGCGUAAAGCGCGCGUAGGUGGAUUAUUAAGUCAAAUAUGAAAGCCCAGGGCUUAACCUUGGAACUGCAUUUGAUACUAAUAAUCUUGAAUACAGUAGAGGGAGGUGGAAUUUCAGGUGUAGCGGUGAAAUGCGUAGAUAUCUGAAGGAACAUCAGUGGCGAAGGCGACCUUCUGGACUGAUACUGACACUGAGGUGCGAAAGCGUGGGGAGCGAACAGGAUUAGAUA
This 279-nucleotide ribosomal RNA is filed under the name uncultured bacterium. RNAcentral's name for it is "partial 16S ribosomal RNA". It matches the Rfam family "Bacterial small subunit ribosomal RNA", at positions 506 to 784 of the family's 1533-position model. The record is from RNAcentral.